GCAAAACAUAAAACAAAUUUAAGCCUGAGGCUUAUCCCACUUGAGGGGCUUGACAACCUCCCAGGUGAAGUCUGGGUCAUCCCUUCCGAAAUGCCCAUAGGCCGCGGUCUUCAAGAACCUACCAUUGCCUCCUCUUUUCAGAUCAAGAUUGAUGGAGAUCAUUCCGGGCCUGAAGUCGAAGGUUUCCUUUACGAUCUUUAGGAUUUCCCUGUCGGGGAUUUUUCCAGUUCCAUAGGUGUCGACGAAGACUGACAGAGGCUCUGGAACACCAAUAGCAUAAGAUACCUGCACAAUGCACCUACGAGCAAGUCCAUUGGCUACAAUGCUCUUGGCAGCUUGCCUGACAAUAUAUGCACCACUUCUGUCCACCUUUGUGGGGUCCUUUCCGGAGAAAGCACCACCACCGUGAGCUCCCCAGCCACCAUAAGUGUCGAUAAUGAUCUUGCGACCUGUUAGACCAGCAUCACCAUGGGGGCCUCCAAUUACAAAGCGGCCUGAAGGGUUGAGGUGAAAGAUGGUCUUCUCAUCAAGAUACUUCUCUGGGAUGACGGGCUUGAUUACAUGCUCUUUGAGGUCAGCAGCAAUCUCAUCGUUGGUAACAGUCUCGUCGUGCUGGGUGGAAAUGAGGACAGUGUGAACACGGGUUGGAACCAUGGCACCAUUCUCAUUUAGGUACUCAACAGUGACCUGGGUCUUGCCAUCAGGUCUCAACCACGCGCAUGUACCAUUCUUGCGGACAUCAGUAAGGCGAGCGCCAAGUUUGGUUGCAAGAACAUGGCUCAGAGGCAUAAGCUCAGGGGUCUCGUCAGUGGCAUAGCCAAACAUAUGGCCCUGGUCACCUGCGCCAAUAUCCUCCGGGCGCUUAGUAAGAUGACCAUGGACACCCUGGGCAAUAUCAGGGCUCUGUU
This 908-nucleotide long non-coding RNA is filed under the name Daucus carota (carrot). Its description in RNAcentral is "long non-coding RNA (DCAR_LNC002532)". Lineage: Eukaryota; Viridiplantae; Streptophyta; Magnoliopsida; Apiales; Apiaceae. The record is from RNAcentral.